GGGGUACUGAGGAUUGAACCCAGGAUCUCUUAACACUGAGCCCCACCCCCGGCACUAUUUUGUAUUUUAUUUAGAGACAGUGUCUCACUGAGCUGCUUAGCACUUUGCUUUUGCUGAGGCUGGUUUUGAACUCACCAUCUUCCUGCCUUAAUCUGUUGAGCCACUGGGAUUAUAGGCGGGCGCCACCAUGUCCGGCUCAACAUAUAUAUCCUUUUGAGAUGAGCUUUUUCUUUCUUUAAACUGAGUUUAAUUACCUUGAGAGUCAGCAGUAUAUCAACUGAGUAUAUCAACUGUCCCUUGAAUGUAGCAGUGAACCUCCUAUUUAUCCAUUCUCUGUUUGAAAGACAUUCCAGUUGUUCACACUAUUAGCAUUGAUGCUGCUGUAAACAUACUGGAGCCCGUUUUAGUCUGGACACGUACCUUCAUUUCUCUUGUAGAUAUUUGUAGGACUGGAACUGCUGGAUCUUAGGGUAAAGUUGCAUUUCACUUGCAAGAAAAUGCCAAGCUUUUUACCCAUGUGGCUCCACCAUUUUACGUUUCUACCAAUAGUGUGGAUGUGCCAGGUUCCCCAUGUCCCUGCUGGCUUGUUUUGUAUUUUGGCCAUUCUGAUGGGUGUGAAGUAGCAUCUCAUCUUGGCUUUGAUUUGCAUUUGGUGAUGGUGAUAGUGGUGGUGGUGGUGGUACUGGUGUUGAACCCAGAGGCACUCUCCAUUACUGUGCUACACCCUCAGCCCUUUUUAUAUUUUAUUUAGAGACAGGAUCUUGUUGAGUUGCUUAGGGCCUUGCUAAGUUGCUGAGGCUGGCUCUGAACUCCUGAUCCUCCUGCCUCAGCCUCCUGAGCUAUUGGCAUUACAGGCAUGUGCUGCCUGUAAGGUUUUUGGACUGACCUUUAGGUCAGUCUUUUUUUCUUUGCCUGGGGAUUGAAACUGGGACCUCGCCCAUGCCAGGCAAGCACUCUGUCUUGAGCUGCACUCCAGCCCCAGUCUGUCGACUCUUGGUUUAAUGUGUGCAUGUGACAUGAGGGGGUUCUGUUAAUCAGUCUUUUUUUGAGUGUAUCCAGUUAUUUCAGAACAAGUUAGUG
Molecule: long non-coding RNA, 1080 nt
Filed under: Marmota monax (woodchuck)
Lineage: Eukaryota; Metazoa; Chordata; Mammalia; Rodentia; Sciuridae
Source: RNAcentral